GAUGAGAAACCACAAUUAUUUUUUUUGCCUUACCUCACGAUCCAAACGGAGUAUUAGAAAAUCAAAAUUGAAACAACUUAUACCUGGUCAAUCCUAUUUUCUCCAUACAAAUCUAAGUAAAUUCCAUAAACGCAGAAAUUAAGGCAUUUUUGGUUUGUGGUUUCAUUUUCUUUAUUUUUGUCUUUCAUGCUUUUCUAAAAACAAAGUAAUAUAAAGUUUGAAAAUACCCUUCAUUUUCAUUGCAGGAAACAAAAACACAACUAAACAUGAAUUUUGGAAUCUUAGUUUUAACAGCCCUUAAACUAUUACCAUAUAGUGUCUACUUUUCACUAGUCAAUUAUCUUUAAUUACAUGAUUACAUAAGAAGAUAGAUAAUUAAUUCAUUCAUUCAUUCAUUACUGUUCAAACCUGUAUGGCAUAUGCUAAGUGGGUGCUAUAAUGCUACCUUGUGAAUUAAUUAAUUAAUUUUAAGUUUUUCAUGUUUUCAAAAGCAAAAAAAUAAAAUAAAAUAAAAUUUCAAAAACACCCAACGUUUUUUAAAUUAUUUUUAUUUUUGUUCAAAAAAAGAAAAAUUAAAUUUCAAACACAGCUUUUUGGUGUGCCUUAAAAAGUUGGCUGUUUUUACGGAAAAAAAAAUUCAAAAACAAUUAGCCAAACAAAUACAAAAACCACUACAGGAAAAUAGAGAUAUAACCAUAUUUUUUUGGUGGCGUUUUGGACAAAUGCCGUCAAAUCUGUUAACAAAUCUUUUAAAUUAACGAUUAUGCUAUACUAGCUUAUUAGCAAAUGGUGGGAUAACUGGGUAUGAAACGGUGGGUAACAUUUGUACCAGUAAAAUGACACAGUUUUGUGUAUGUAAACAAGGGAUUUUUUCCCCCUUUUAUAAAGCUAAUUGUACCUAGGGAAUCCAAAUCUAUCUAGAGAUGUUUUUCUAUUUCUGUUGAUUGAACAGAGACGCGACUUGAGAGAGAGAGAGAGGGCUGGUUCUUUGAUUUCCAUUGAUUUUUGGUGAUUUUGAUCUAGAAAAUCUUGUUCUUCCUCUUGACUUUAGCGUAUCUUCAAGAUUGUUCGAAUCCCUCUAAUCUAAAUUGAUCUAGGGCUCAAGGGUUUUGAGUGCAGGGUCAAUGUCUCCGGACAAUCAACAGCUAAUAUAAUCGAGAUGGGCCGUGUGUAGAAGUUAACGGUCUAGAGAUGUAGAUCUUAUUCUCAAAUCUGCUAUCUCUCCGAUCAGAUCUGUAAAUAUCAGUAGAAGAAGAUGAAAAGGACUCAUUUGAGUUUGUUGAAAAGAUUGUUUACUCCUUUGAGAAAAAAAAGGUUGCUGGUUUUGUAAUACACAGGUUUGCCCAUCCCUGUUACCUUAUUACCGAUUGUCUUUUUUUGAUAGGUGAUUAGAAUACUAAACAUGUAAAAUUAAAGGGUCCUAUGAGCUGAGUAUGACCUUAAUAGAAAAAUACUAGCAAUUAAUAGGACCGGUUGUGGAAAAAGAAAACUAUUCUACAUCAUCACAUAGGUGGAGUUAGUAGAAUGACAUUAUUGUUCUUAUAAAAUAUAUAAAGCUGCUGAGAAGAUAGUGGUUAGAGUUUUGAUUGACGAAUGAUCUUAUUUUUUUAUAUGUUAACUAUUGUAUAUUGUCUUUGUCUUCGAUUAUUAUAGUUUUUGACUUUUUUUUUUCUUUUUUCUUUUUUUUUUCUCACAUUUAUCUUAGAAUUUGGGUAACAUUACAGGAAGCAAAAUGAAGCUCAAAGUAAGAUAUUGUUAUUAUUAUACAUUCUAAUGGAGUUUCACAAGCAAACAUGCGCAUUGGCGCAUUCAAUUUUUUAAACUACACAUGGUUGUGAAAGCUUUUGCAUUCAACUGUUAUUGGGAAUUGGUAUAACCAAAGGCAGGAGGUAAAUGAGAUGUGGGCAGGUUUGGGCUAUUACAGACGAGUACGAUAUCUACUAUAGGCUGUGGCAAGGGCAAAUGCAUGUUGUUGGUCUAAACAAAGGGAUGAGUUUUUGGUGUAUACAUCAAGGUACUAAAUGUUUUUGGUGAGGCUUGGGAAGAAGAGUGUGAAGGAAGUAUAUACUGCUAUAUUACAUCAUAUAGCUAUUAGGACUGAUAGGUUGUUUUCCCUAAUUAACAAAUAAGGACAAUAUCAAAUCAAGUAAACAACUGAAAGAGGAACUAGAUAAAAUAGCACUAUUAGCCUCAAGAUGUGUCCAUGCUUUUUUUCUUCUGCUUCAAUAGCUCUAUCAAUAAUACCACCUGGCUUAAAGUGUCAUUGCUUUGGUUUGCUUACCUCUGGACGAUGUGCAACUGCUGCACACUCUUGCUGGGAUAUACAAUUUAUACAAGCAAUCAUUUGAUUUUUUUUUUUUUUUUUUCAUUUUCAGGGAAGCUGUGAGUCGCAGUAUUGUAAAUGUAAAUAAUUGAUUAGAAAAAAUAUUCUCUUAUUUGUGCUUCAUAUAUAUAUUUUUCUUUGGUUUAUG
Camellia sinensis is the source of this 2471-nucleotide non-coding RNA. Lineage: Eukaryota; Viridiplantae; Streptophyta; Magnoliopsida; Ericales; Theaceae. The record is from RefSeq and is a predicted model, not a curated record.